CAGCCUGAUGCGCCAUGCCGCGUGUGUGAAGAAGGCCUUCGGGUUGUAAAGCACUUUCAGUCGUGAGGAAGGUUCAUACGUUAAUAGCGUAUGGAUUUGACGUUAGCGACAGAAGAAGCACCGGCUAACUCCGUGCCAGCAGCCGCGGUAAUACGGAGGGUGCGAGCGUUAAUCGGAAUUACUGGGCGUAAAGCGCAUGCAGGUGGUUCGUUAAGUCAGAUGUGAAAGCCCGGGGCUCAACCUCGGAACUGCAUUUGAAACUGGCGGACUAGAGUACUGUAGAGGGGGGUAGAAUUUCAGGUGUAGCGGUGAAAUGCGUAGAGAUCUGAAGGAAUACCGGUGGCGAAGGCGGCCCCCUGGACAGAUACUGACACUCAGAUGCGAAAGCGUGGGGAGCAAACAGGAUUAGAUACCCUGGUAGUCCACGCCGUAAACGAUGUCUACUUGGAGGUUGUGGCCUUGAGCCGUGGCUUUCGGAGCUAACGCGUUAAGUAGACCGCCUGGGGAGUACGGUCGCAAGAUUAAAACUCAAAUGAAUUGACGGGGGCCCGCACAAGCGGUGGAGCAUGUGGUUUAAUUCGAUGCAACGCGAAGAACCUUACCUACUCUUGACAUCUAGAGAAGCCAGCGGAGACGCAGGUGUGCCUUCGGGAACUCUAAGACAGGUGCUGCAUGGCUGUCGUCAGCUCGUGUUGUGAAAUGUUGGGUUAAGUCCCGCAACGAGCGCAACCCUUAUCCUUGUUUGCCAGCGAGUAAUGUCGGGAACUCCAGGGAGACUGCCGGUGAUAAACCGGAGGAAGGUGGGGACGACGUCAAGUCAUCAUGGCCCUUACGAGUAGGGCUACACACGUGCUACAAUGGCGCAUACAGAGGGCUGCCAACCAGCGAUGGUGAGCGAAUCCCAAAAAGUGCGUCGUAGUCCGGAUUGGAGUCUGCAACUCGACUCCAUGAAGUCGGAAUCGCUAGUAAUCGUGAAUCAGAAUGUCACGGUGAAUACGUUCCCGGGCCUUGUACACACCGCCCGUCACACCAUGGGAGUGGGCUGCAAAAGAAGUGGGUAGUUUAACCUUUCGAGGAGGACGCUCACCACUUGUGGUCAUGAUGGUGAGC
Molecule: ribosomal RNA, 1110 nt
Filed under: Vibrio sp. 8011M
Lineage: Bacteria; Pseudomonadati; Pseudomonadota; Gammaproteobacteria; Vibrionales; Vibrionaceae
Description: bacterial SSU rRNA
Rfam family: Bacterial small subunit ribosomal RNA
Source: RNAcentral